RNAcentral lists this ribosomal RNA (300 nucleotides) under uncultured Piscirickettsiaceae bacterium. RNAcentral's name for it is "bacterial SSU rRNA". It matches the Rfam family "Bacterial small subunit ribosomal RNA", at positions 114 to 415 of the family's 1533-position model. The record is from RNAcentral. Lineage: Bacteria; Pseudomonadati; Pseudomonadota; Gammaproteobacteria; Thiotrichales; Piscirickettsiaceae.
UGUAUAGGAACUUGCCUAGUAGUGGGGGACAACGUGUGGAAACGCACGCUAAUACCGCAUACGCUCUACGGAGGAAAGCGGGGGAUCUUUCGGGACCUCGUGCUACUAGAUAGGCCUAUAUUGGAUUAGCUAGUUGGUAAGGUAAAGGCUUACCAAGGCGACGAUCCAUAGCUGGUUUGAGAGAAUGAUCAGCCACACUGGGACUGAGACACGGCCCAGACUCCUACGGGAGGCAGCAGUGGGGAAUAUUGCACAAUGGAGGAAACUCUGAUGCAGCAAUGCCGCGUGUGUGAAGAAGGC